This 468-nucleotide ribosomal RNA is filed under the name uncultured bacterium. Its description in RNAcentral is "partial 16S ribosomal RNA". It matches the Rfam family "Bacterial small subunit ribosomal RNA", at positions 28 to 507 of the family's 1533-position model. The record is from RNAcentral.
GACGAACGCUGGCGGCGUGCUUAACACAUGCAAGUCGAACGGAAAGGCCCUGCUUUUGUGGGGUGCUCGAGUGGCGAACGGGUGAGUAACACGUGAGUAACCUGCCCUUGACUUUGGGAUAACUUCAGGAAACUGGGGCUAAUACCGGAUAGGAGCUCCUGCUGCAUGGUGGGGGUUGGAAAGUUUCGGCGGUUGGGGAUGGACUCGCGGCUUAUCAGCUUGUUGGUGGGGUAGUGGCUUACCAAGGCUUUGACGGGUAGCCGGCCUGAGAGGGUGACCGGACACAUUGGGACUGCGAUACGGCCCAGACUCCUACGGGAGGCAGCAGUGGGGAAUAUUGCACAAUGGGCGGAAGCCUGAUGCAGCAACGCCGCGUGCGGGAUGACGGCCUUCGGGUUGUAAACCGCUUUCGCCUGUGACGAAGCGUGAGUGACGGUAAUGGGUAAAGAAGCACCGGCUAACUACGUG